GCAGCAGCCACGGUAAUACAGAGGGUGCGAGCGUUAAUCGGAUUUACUGGGCGUAAAGCGUGCGUAGGCGGCUUUUUAAGUCGGAUGUGAAAUCCCUGAGCUUAACUUAGGAAUUGCAUUCGAUACUGGGAAGCUAGAGUAUGGGAGAGGAUGGUAGAAUUCCAGGUGUAGCGGUGAAAUGCGUAGAGAUCUGGAGGAAUACCGAUGGCGAAGGCAGCCAUCUGGCCUAAUACUGACGCUGAGGUACGAAAGCAUGGGGAGCAAACAGGAUUAGAUACCCCGGUAGUCCCUGUCUCUUAUAC
This 302-nucleotide ribosomal RNA is filed under the name uncultured bacterium. RNAcentral's name for it is "partial 16S ribosomal RNA". It matches the Rfam family "Bacterial small subunit ribosomal RNA", at positions 508 to 807 of the family's 1533-position model. The record is from RNAcentral.